AGUACAUUGAGGCUCGGAGGGAUGUUAUUAAAACACAAGGUGAAGGAAGUGGAAUUUGGAACAACUGUUGUGAAAACCCAUGUGGCAGUAUCUACUAAGCCCGUCACCCAGUAAUUCCGCCGCCACCUCCUUACUCAGCAGGAGCACGCACAGGCUGACACGGCACACUCACGACGCAUGUGACCCGGGUCACGGUCAAACGUCACCGAACUCUCCCAAGGAACACGCGACGUAACUGUUGGCACAGCCGCGUGAAGGAGGACGCCAGGGUUCGAGGCGCACCCACCCGGCCAG
This 294-nucleotide long non-coding RNA is filed under the name Neogale vison (American mink). RNAcentral describes it as "Neovison vison (American mink) lncRNA (ENSNVIG00000020777.1)". Lineage: Eukaryota; Metazoa; Chordata; Mammalia; Carnivora; Mustelidae. The record is from RNAcentral.